CAGCAGCCGCGGUAAAACAGAGGGUGCGAGCGUUAAUCGGAUUUACUGGGCGUAAAGCGUGCGUAGGCGGCUUUUUAAGUCGGAUGUGAAAUCCCUGAGCUUAACUUAGGAAUUGCAUUCGAUACUGGGAAGCUAGAGUAUGGGAGAGGAUGGUAGAAUUCCAGGUGUAGCGGUGAAAUGCGUAGAGAUCUGGAGGAAUACCGAUGGCGAAGGCAGCCAUCUGGCCUAAUACUGACGCUGAGGUACGAAAGCAUGGGGAGCAAACAGGAUUAGAUACCCCUGUAGUCCCUGUCUCUUAUAA
This 301-nucleotide ribosomal RNA is filed under the name uncultured bacterium. RNAcentral describes it as "partial 16S ribosomal RNA". It matches the Rfam family "Bacterial small subunit ribosomal RNA", at positions 509 to 809 of the family's 1533-position model. The record is from RNAcentral.